This 625-nucleotide ribosomal RNA is filed under the name Cryptococcus sp. VKPM Y-3827. RNAcentral describes it as "eukaryotic LSU rRNA". It matches the Rfam family "Eukaryotic large subunit ribosomal RNA", at positions 1 to 623 of the family's 3401-position model. The record is from RNAcentral. Lineage: Eukaryota; Fungi; Basidiomycota; Tremellomycetes; Tremellales; Cryptococcaceae.
CCUCAAAUCAGGUAGGAUUACCCGCUGAACUUAAGCAUAUCAAUAAGCGGAGGAAAAGAAACUAACAAGGAUUCCCCUAGUAACGGCGAGUGAAGCGGGAUGAGCUCAAAUUUAAAAUCUAGCAGCCUCAGGUUGUUCGAGUUGUAGUCUAGAGAAGCGUUUUCCGCGUUGGCCUGUGUACAAGUCCCUUGGAAUAGGGCGUCAUAGAGGGUGAGAAUCCCGUCCUUGACACAGAUCCCAAUGCUUUGUGAUACGCUCUCAAAGAGUCGAGUUGUUUGGGAAUGCAGCUCAAAAUGGGUGGUAAAUUCCAUCUAAAGCUAAAUAUAGGCGAGAGACCGAUAGCGAACAAGUACCGUGAGGGAAAGAUGAAAAGCACUUUGGAAAGAGAGUUAAACAGUACGUGAAAUUGUUGAAAGGGAAACGAUUGAAGUCAGUCAUGCUUCUCUAGAUUCAGCUUGGUCUCCAAGUGUAUUUCUAGUUUUGCAGGCCAGCAUCAGUUUUGUUUGGUGGAAAAAGCUUGAGGAACGUGGCAACUCCGGUUGUGUUAUAGCCUCUUUGCGCAUACAUCAGAUGGGACUGAGGAACGCAGUGUGCCUUUAUGGUCGGUCUUCGGACACGUACGCAC